This 322-nucleotide ribosomal RNA is filed under the name uncultured eukaryote. Its description in RNAcentral is "partial 18S ribosomal RNA". It matches the Rfam family "Eukaryotic small subunit ribosomal RNA", at positions 1470 to 1796 of the family's 1831-position model. The record is from RNAcentral.
CCCUUAGACGUUCUGGGCCGCACGCGCGCUACACUGAGUGGAUCAGCGGGUCAGGUUGCGCGAAAGCGUUUCCUAAUCUUUAAAUCCGCUCGUGAUGGGGAUUGACGGUUGCAAUUUUCUGUCAUGAACGAGGAAUACCUUGUAAGCGCGGGUCAUCAUCCCGCGCUGAAUACGUCCCUGCCCUUUGUACACACCGCCCGUCGCUCCUACCGAUUGAGUGGUCCGGUGAGGCUUUGGGAUCUGAGCGGAAAGAGCGUUUCGCUGUUUCUGCUCGGAAAACUCAGUCGAACCUUAUCAUUUAGAGGAAGGAGAAGUCGUAACA